This 253-nucleotide ribosomal RNA is filed under the name uncultured bacterium. RNAcentral describes it as "partial 16S ribosomal RNA". It matches the Rfam family "Bacterial small subunit ribosomal RNA", at positions 524 to 776 of the family's 1533-position model. The record is from RNAcentral.
UACAGAGGUCUCAAGCGUUGUUCGGAUUCAUUGGGCGUAAAGGGUGCGUAGGUGGCGAGGCAAGUCUGGUGUGAAAUCCCGGGGCUCAACCCCGGAACUGCACUGGAUACUGCCUUGCUUGAGCACUGGAGAGGGAACUGGAAUUUACGGUGUAGCAGUGAAAUGCGUAGAGAUCGUAAGGAAGACCAGUGGCGAAGGCGGGUCUCUGGACAGUUCCUGACACUGAGGCACGAAAGCUAGGGGAGCAAACAGG